AGUCACAUUAGACUAUCUCUAUCUCCUUCAAGUCCAACAGUUGAAAACCUUAAAACCCCUCGAUUACUCGUUUCCUUGCAAAAAUUCCACACAUCGAUCGAACACCCAGAUGAAACCAUAUUUAUUAUUUCUUCUAUGGUUUCUCUUGAUCAUCACCGGAUUCUCCGCUUCAAUUGGCGAUUCCUCAAUUUCGAAACCCUCAGGGCCUCCCGUCUCGAAUCUUAAAGGUAAUAUCACCAUUUCUGAAACGACAGAUCCCCUCAUUUCGAAUCUCGUCUUAAAUGGGAAUCUCAAUCUCGAGCCUUUCCAGAGCUCCGACUCUCCAGAGGGUAGAACUCUGUUGUCUCUUCCUCCAUCAGAGGAUGCUAAAGAACUUUUUGCCACCAUGGAUGGUAUGAUUCAUUUAGUUGACAUCAAGUCCAGAAAAGUCCUCUGGUCAAUCGAUUUAGGACAGAGACUUUUUACCUAUGGCAUGGGUAAAGACAUCUCUUCUGAUGUUAAGGAUGACUGGGAAUUCUAUGUGCACAGGUCAUUCAGUAAACAGAGAUUGGAAGAAAUUCUAAAAGUUACACCGCAAUUUCUAGAGAAUGGAGCAGUAUUAGUCGGGUCAAAGACAACUAUUGUCUAUGUUCUUGAUGUCAAGACUGGGCAAAUACUUGAUAAAGUUGGUUCUCCAAUGUUAGGGGUACCUGUUGAUGAUGAGCAGCAUCCUUUAUCCAAGAAAGAUAUUGAUGCAGCUGAAGUGCUUCUUAUCACCAGGACCGGAUAUGAAUUUAUGUCUCAUGCUAUAAAGUCAAAUGAAGCUUUGUGGCUUAUAGCCUCUUCCAUUAUUGAGGCUGGUCAAGUAAAAGUUAAUAUUGUCCCCAAUCUUGAACUAUUUGAGGUUGAUCAUAAAGACAGAGCAAUGGCAUCUCUACUCACUGAUGCUGAUUACACUGAUAAAUUGAAUGCUGUGGAACUUAGCACACCAUCGAGAACUCAUUAUGAACACAGAAUUCACACUCUGCCUGAAGGUGAAAUGCUUUCUUUAUUGCUUUCCCUGUCUCAGCUGUUGGGUGUUUCUUUCCAAUCCAAAGUACUUUCUCUACCAUCCCAUCCCCCAGACAGGACACUUCCUUUGCCGGCUGCAAGUCAUAAUCCUUUACAGCAUAUGUUUGACAAGGUAUCUGAGGCACAGAAAGUUAGAAAUCAAGAAACGAUCUCUUCACUAACUUUUGAAAGUUUGAGAAGCAUUCACUAUACUGAUAAAGCUACAAUUGGUCUUGUAUUAUGUGUUGUGGGCAUAGGCUUGCUCUUUUUCUUGUACCGCCAUACUCUAGCAGUUACUAAUGAAAGUAAAUUGGGAAAGCAGUCAAAUGAGUUUGAAGGGCAGAUUGUAGUUCCCAAGAGGAAGAAAGCUCGGAAAUCUGGACACAAUAAGAACACUGCAAAUAUUAUGAAAAGUAAUAGACAUAUGUCAUCUGAGAGUGAAGAUCAAGAAAUUGAUGGGCAUUUACACUCAGGGAGAAAUGAGAAUCCAUUAUUGAAUCUUAUGGAACCUGUUGAUAGUGGUCGCAGUGGACGUAGGAUUGGCAAAUUGUUAGUGUCCAAUGUAGAAAUUGCCAAGGGAAGCAAUGGUACUGUUGUCUUUGAGGGAGUCUGUUAUGGCCGUCCUGUUGCUAUUAAACGCCUUCUACUGUCUCAUCAUGAUGUGGCUUUUAAAGAGAUUCAGAAUCUUACUGAAUCUGAUUCACAUCCAAACAUAGUUCGACUUUACAGAUAUGAAUCUGAUGAUAAUUUUGUAUAUCUUGCACUAGAGCGAUGCACUUGUAGCUUAAGUGAUUUAAUUCAGAUGUACUCAGAUUUUUCUCCCAAUCAAUUAUUGAUCAAAGACAAGGCUGCAGAUCCUGGGAAUCAGUAUCAUAUUCAGUUGCAUUCUCUGAAUGGACUUAAGAAUGAUGUUGAAUUGUGGAAGGGGAAUGGUUAUCCUUCAUCCCAGUUGUUAAAGCUUAUGAGGGAUAUUGUAUCUGGGCUAGCACAUCUGCAUGAAUUGGGGAUAAUCCAUAGGGACUUAAAACCUCAAAAUGUGUUGAUAAUCAAGGAGAGAUUUUUAUAUGCAAAACUUUCUGAUAUGGGGAUCAGCAAACGCCUUCCUACCAACAUGUCUUCCUUGGGUCAUCAAGUUACUGGCUGUGGUAGUUCGGGAUGGCAGGCACCUGAACAACUUCUUCAUAGACGCCAAACUCGUGCAGUAGAUUUAUUUAGUUUAGGUUGUGUCCUCUUUUAUUGUGUCAGUGGAGGAAGACACCCAUUUGGUGACCAUCUUGAACGUGACAUCAAUAUUGUGAAGAAUAGGGUAGACCUUUUCCCUGUAGAGCAUAUACCAGAAGCUAUGGAUCUUUUCUCUCAUUUACUCGACUUUGAGCCUGAGCUGAGGCCAAAGGCACUAGAAGUGUUGCACCAUCCUGUCUUUUGGGAUUCUGAGAUGCGGCUUUUCUUUCUUCGAGAUACUAGUGACAGGGUGGAAUUAGAAGAUAGGGCAAAUGAAUCUGAUCUUUUAAAAGCGUUAGAAAGUAUUGCUCCAGUGGCUUUAAAUGGGAAAUGGGAUGACAAGAUGGAAGCAGCAUUCAUCAGAAACAUUGGGCAUUAUAGGCGUUAUAAGUUUGAUAGUAUUCGUGAUUUAUUGCGGGUCAUACGAAACAAGUUGAAUCAUUACAGGGAACUUCCAAAAGAAAUCCAGGAAAUUCUCGGGCCGAUUCCUGAAGGAUUUGAUGGUUAUUUCUCAGCUCGUUUUCCUAAACUCUUAAUUGAAGUAUACAAAGUCGUACACAGAUACUGCAGAGAGGAGGAAUGCUUCAGUAAGUACUUCAAAAGUAGCGUGGUGUAGUUCUUUAAAUGUUGCAGAAGAUGCAAACGGAACCGUGGGACCAUGUUUAUUUAUUGAGGGAUCAGCCACAUGGUGAUUGGUGAACACUGAACAAUGCUCUUACGCACUCAUUACAAGAACUGUCCGCCGUUGCAAGUUGGCAGCCGCUGCAAACUUGCCUGCUGCAAAGCUUGGAAGUGCUGCAAAUUGCAAAAAACGCUGUCCGCCACUGCAAACUCGUCGACGCUGGUCGCCGUUAAUCGUAGUUGGUUGGUGUCUGUCGCUGUCAAACGCCAGAGGUGCUGGCCGCCGCUGCAAACCUGCCUGCCGCAAAGCCUGGAAGUGCUGCAAAUUGCAAAAAACGCUAGCCGCCACUGCAAACUCGUCAUUGCUGGUCGCCGGUCACCGUUAAUCGCCAUUGGUCGGCGUGUCACCGUCGAACGUCGGAGGUGCUGGCCGCCGCAGGUGGUCGGUUGGGUGUGGGGGCUGAGAGGAGGGAAGAACGAAGGGUUAGAACGAAAAUGAAGUUCUAACCCUACAUUCGAUUAAUUGAUUUGGGAUGGGGAUAUUAAAGUAAUUUUACUUUUUUAUUUUAUUUUAUUUAUAACAGUGAGAAUAAA
Molecule: RNA transcript, 3465 nt
Organism: Nelumbo nucifera (sacred lotus)
Lineage: Eukaryota; Viridiplantae; Streptophyta; Magnoliopsida; Proteales; Nelumbonaceae
Gene: IRE1A
Gene name: Endoribonuclease/protein kinase IRE1-like protein
Source: RefSeq, a predicted model, not a curated record